CACAACGUUCCCUAGAUCCGUUCGUUUGAUCCCAAAUUCGAACUGAAAUACUGCCAUUGACUAAAACAUAUGCUGACUACAUUUCACCGACGGUGUUAUAACGCGAGGUAGGACGAAGAUACCAAGAAAGACAUUGUCGGCUGUCAACAGUAAAGACUUUUCUCCGCUCAAGACUGCUAGCCCAUAUGCUAAUGCGGGAAACAAGUUAGCUUUCCACAGCUAGCUAUGCUGUGAGUGCUGCUAGCCCCAUGGAUACAUCGAAGUU
Long non-coding RNA from Sander lucioperca (pikeperch), 265 nucleotides. RefSeq lists it as uncharacterized. The transcript is spliced from 3 exons. Lineage: Eukaryota; Metazoa; Chordata; Actinopteri; Perciformes; Percidae. The record is from RefSeq and is a predicted model, not a curated record.